UGUAGGAGCUGCCGCAGGCUGCGAUCUUUUGAUCUUGUCUUUAAAACAACAUCGCAGCCUGCGGCAGCUCCUACA
Molecule: unclassified non-coding RNA, 75 nt
Filed under: Pseudomonas helmanticensis
Lineage: Bacteria; Pseudomonadati; Pseudomonadota; Gammaproteobacteria; Pseudomonadales; Pseudomonadaceae
Source: RNAcentral